Callithrix jacchus (white-tufted-ear marmoset) is the source of this 2289-nucleotide non-coding RNA. Lineage: Eukaryota; Metazoa; Chordata; Mammalia; Primates; Cebidae. The record is from RefSeq and is a predicted model, not a curated record.
CAUGUAUCUUUCAUAUUUUUAUGUCUUCCAUUGUGUACUAAUGAGAAACUCACUCAUUAUUUGUUCAAUAGAUGAAUGAAGUAUACUAGUUUAUGAUUACUAAAUAAUUGGGAUAUUUAUGCCUAAGCCAGAAAUCAAGUUUUUGGUUUACUGCUUCAACCUGUAAUCAUUGCAUGCAUAUCCCUUCAGUAUACAGAUGAACAUUAAGGCAGUGUUUCUCAGCCUUUUCCUAUAAAGUGCUCGUAUUGGCUACAGCAGGAAAGGAGAAUGAUAGCAUAUCAUCAUAGGGCUGGGGCAGAGCUUGCAGGGCCUGGUCCAACAGGAAAUUUACCUUGAAGUUCCAAGUUUUAUUGUAAAAAUUUAUGCAUUUUUGCAUCCUAGUCUAUUAUAUAUCUGAGCUUCUUGUAUUGUCAAAGCACGGUUUUUAAAUUGUCUUUUUCUCCUCAAAAGGAAGAACUUUGUCUCAUUUCAUAUUGAAUCCCUAAUGCUUAAAACCGUGUGCAGCAUAUAAUAACUACACAAUGAUUAUUUAGUAAAUGAGUUUUAGCAAAAUUGAUGCUUCAGGAAACAGUUGAUUAAUGGUUGCCAGGAACUGUAAGGAGUCAAUGCUAAUGAGUACAGGGUUUCUUUUCGGAUAAUGAAAUUUUUCUAGAAUUACGGAAUAGUGAUAGUUGCAUAACCUUCAGAAUACACUAAAUAAAAACCACUGACAUGUUCACUUUAAAAGGGUGAAUUUUAUAGUAUGUAAAUUUUGUCUCCGUUUUUAAAAAUGAAAAAAAAAACUAGGAAAGGAAGAAAUGAAACCAUUAUUCCCAGACAAUAUGAUUGUGUGUAUAGAAAACAAAAAAGGUUAUAUAAAUAAAUGAUCAUAAUAAAUAGGUGAAUUUAGAAAAUCUCAGGAUAUGGUCAGGGAUGGUGGCUUAUGCCUGUAAUCCUAGUACUUUGGGAGGCCAAGGUGGGUGGAUCAUUUGAGCUCAGGAGUUCAAGAUCAGCCUAUGCAACAUAGUGAGACCCUAUCUCUACAAAAAAUGGAAAAAUUAGCCAGGCAUGGUGGCAUGUACCUAUGGUCACAGCUUCUUGGAAAGCUGAGGCAGGAGGGUCAGUUGAGCAAUUGAGCCCAAGAGGUGGAGGCUGCAGUAAACUGUGAUCGUGCUAUUGCACUCCACCUUAGGUGACAGAGUGAGACCUUGUCUCAAAAAAAGAAAGAAAGAAAAUCUUAGGAUGCAGGGUCAAAAUGGAAAAUAAGUUCUGUUUUUCUCUUAACAACAGAAAAUCCAGAAAUACAACUUUUGAAAUUGUACAGUUUGUAUAAUAAUGGUAUAUACAGCCCUUUUGGCUCUCUGAGCAGCACCAUGGUGGUUGGCAAGAACAAGCGCCUUACGAAAGGCGGCAAAAAGGGAGCCAAGAAGAAAGUGGUUGAUCCAUUUUCUAAGAAAGAUUGGUAUGAUGUGAAAGCACCCGCUAUGUUCAAUAUAAGAAAUAUUGGAAAGACACUAGUCACCAGGACCCAAGGAACCAAAAUUGCAUCUGAUGGCCUCAAGGGUCGAGUGUUUCAAGUUAGUCUUGCUGAUUUGCAGAAUGACAAAGUUGCAUUUAGGAAAUUGAAGCUGAUUACCGAAGAUGUUCAGGGCAAAAACUACCUGACCAACUUCCAUGGCAUGGAUCUUACCCAUGACUAAAUGUGUUCCAUGGUCAAAAAAUGGCAGACAAUGAUUGAAGCUCUUGUUGAUGUCAAGACUACCAAUGGUUAAUUUGCUUCGUCUUCUCUGUGUUGGUUUUACUACGAAGCACAACAAUCAGAUACGGAAGACAUCUUCUGCUCAGCACCAACAGGUCUGCCAAAUCCGGAAGAAGAUAGAAAUCAUGACCCGAGAGGUGCAGACAAAUGACUUGAAAGAAGUGGUCGGUAAAUGGAUUCCAGACAGCAUUGAAAAGACAGAAAAGGCUUGCUCAUCUAUUUAUCCUUUCCAUGUUGUCUUUGUUAGAAAAGUAAAAAUGCUGAAGAAGCCCGAGUUUGAAUUGGGAAAACUCAUGGAGCUUCAUGGUGAAGGCAGUAGUUCUGGAAAAGCCACUGCAGAUGAGACAGAGGUUUGGCCAUAGGCUGAAAGAACAACUUCUCUGUAUCUGCCAUCCCCCUGGCAAGAUGAGCCACACAAACAUCAGGACUCAGCACUGUUCACAUGGUUGAAGAAUUCCACCUUUGGCAGAGGGCUGGAAGCUGUUUGGAUAGUACCUGGACAUUGCUUAGAAUUGCAUUUGAUAGAGAAUAAAAGGAGUGUAAAACUCUGA